This 228-nucleotide ribosomal RNA is filed under the name uncultured bacterium. RNAcentral describes it as "partial 16S ribosomal RNA". It matches the Rfam family "Bacterial small subunit ribosomal RNA", at positions 568 to 795 of the family's 1533-position model. The record is from RNAcentral.
UGCGUAGGCGGAAAAUUAAGUCAGUGAUGAAAUCCUGCAGCUUAACUGUAGAACUGUUAUUGAUACUGAUUUUCUUGAAUAUAGUUGAGGUAGGCGGAAUGUGUAAUGUAGCGGUGAAAUGCUUAGAUAUUACACAGAACACCGAUUGCGAAGGCAGCUUACUAAGCUAUUAUUGACGCUGAGGCACGAAAGCGUGGGGAGCGAACAGGAUUAGAUACCCUGGUAGUC